AGUGAACGCUGGCGGUAGGCCUAACACAUGCAAGUCGAACGGCAGCACAGUAAGAGCUUGCUCUUACGGGUGGCGAGUGGCGGACGGGUGAGGAAUACAUCGGAAUCUACUUUUUCGUGGGGGAUAACGUAGGGAAACUUACGCUAAUACCGCAUACGACCUACGGUUGAAAGCAGGGGAUCUUCGGACCUUGCGCGAUUGAAUGAGCCGAUGUCGGAUUAGCUAGUUGGCGGGGUAAAGGCCCACCAAGGCGACGAUCCGUAGCUGGUCUGAGAGGAUGAUCAGCCACACUGGAACUGGGACACGGUCCAGACUCCUACGGGAGGCAGCAGUGGGGAAUAUUGGACAAUGGGCGCAAGCCUGAUCCAGCCAUACCGCGUGGGUGAAGAAGGCCUUCGGGUUGUAAAGCCCUUUUGUUGGGAAAGAAAAGCAGCAGGUUAAUACCCCGCUGUUCUGACGGUACCCAAAGAAUAAGCACCGGCUAACUUCGUG
Molecule: ribosomal RNA, 492 nt
Filed under: uncultured bacterium
Lineage: Bacteria
Description: partial 16S ribosomal RNA
Rfam family: Bacterial small subunit ribosomal RNA
Source: RNAcentral